UACGGAGGAUGCGAGCGUUAUCCGGAUUUAUUGGGUUUAAAGGGUGCGUAGGUUGUUUUUUAAGUCAGCGGUGAAAGUUUGUGGCUCAACCAUAAAAUUGCCGUUGAAACUGGAAGACUUGAGUGUGUUUGAGGUAGGCGGAAUGCGCAGUGUAGCGGUGAAAUGCUUAGAUAUUGCGCAGAACUCCGAUCGCGAAGGCAGCCUACCGGCGCGCAACUGACGCUCAUGCACGAAAGCGUGGGUAUCGAACAGG
This 253-nucleotide ribosomal RNA is filed under the name uncultured Parabacteroides sp. RNAcentral's name for it is "partial 16S ribosomal RNA". It matches the Rfam family "Bacterial small subunit ribosomal RNA", at positions 524 to 776 of the family's 1533-position model. Lineage: Bacteria; Pseudomonadati; Bacteroidota; Bacteroidia; Bacteroidales; Tannerellaceae. The record is from RNAcentral.